GACGAACGCUGGCGGCGUGCUUAACACAUGCAAGUCGAGCGGUAAGGCCCUUUCGGGGGUACACGAGCGGCGAACGGGUGAGUAACACGUGGGUGACCUGCCUUUAGCUCUGGGAUAAGCCUGGGAAACUGGGUCUAAUACCGGAUAUGACUCCGCGGUGCAUGCUGUGGGGUGGAAAGCCUUGUGCGGCUGGAGAUGGGGCCCGUCGGCCUAUCAGCUUGUUGGUGGGGUGAUGGCCUACCAAGGCGA
Molecule: ribosomal RNA, 249 nt
Filed under: uncultured Actinomycetes bacterium
Lineage: Bacteria; Bacillati; Actinomycetota; Actinomycetes
Description: uncultured actinobacterium partial 16S ribosomal RNA
Rfam family: Bacterial small subunit ribosomal RNA
Source: RNAcentral